AGGAACCGCUCGUACAUGACGGUUCCUCCGCCAUCCGCACCCGGCUGACUAUCGCUCGCUACUUUUUGCAGCU
This 73-nucleotide small RNA is filed under the name Xanthomonas vesicatoria. RNAcentral's name for it is "sX9". The record is from RNAcentral. Lineage: Bacteria; Pseudomonadati; Pseudomonadota; Gammaproteobacteria; Lysobacterales; Lysobacteraceae.